This 775-nucleotide ribosomal RNA is filed under the name uncultured Neocallimastigales. Its description in RNAcentral is "partial large subunit ribosomal RNA". It matches the Rfam family "Eukaryotic large subunit ribosomal RNA", at positions 22 to 628 of the family's 3401-position model. Lineage: Eukaryota; Fungi; Neocallimastigomycota; Neocallimastigomycetes; Neocallimastigales. The record is from RNAcentral.
UGUACACGCUGUGACUAGCAUAUCAAUAAGCGGAGGAAAAGAAACUAACAAGGAUUCCCCUAGUAACGGCGAGUGAAGCGGGAAGAGCUCAAAUUUGAAAUCUUAAAGGGUUUCCCUUUACGAAUUGUAGUUUAAAGAAGUGUUUUCUGUUGAGGUUUUGGUAAAAGUUCUUUGGAAUAGGACAUCAUAGAGGGUGAGAAUCCCGUAUUUGACCUUUACUUUCAACUUUGUGAUACACUUUCAAAGAGUCGGAUUGUUUGGGAAUGCAGUCCAAAAUGGGUGGUAAAUUUCAUCUAAAGCUAAAUAUUGGCGAGAGACCGAUAGCGAACAAGUACCGUGAGGGAAAGAUGAAAAGAACUUUGAAAAGAGAGUUAAACAGUACGUGAAAUUGUCAAAAGGGAAGCGUUUGACACCAGUGUUGUUUUUCUGAAAAUCAAUUAAAGAACUGUUUAUGCUAAGUUGUUUAGACUUUAUCAGCUAACUGUUUAGUUUUGAGCUUUUCUUUAAUGCACUUUUCAGUUAACAAGUCAACAUCAAUUUCUUUUGCUGUAAAAAAGCUUGAGGAAGGUGGCUUGAGAUUCGUCUUAAGUGUUUAUAGCCUCUUGCCUAUGCAGUCGGAGAGAUUGAGGUCUGCAGCGUAGACCCUUCGGGGCUAAAUGCAUUUAUGCUAAGUUAUAGCAUUUUAUAGACAACUUGUUGACUAUGAUUUGUCUUGUAGCUUACUCGCUUAUGUUAUUUUACCUACGCUUAGGAUGUUGAGUCGUAGAGCACGCAG